GGAAGGUGAGAAGCAAGUGGACAAAUGAUGAAGUAAAGGUUGCUGCAAAGUACCAGGGAUCACCGUAUGUGCAGGCUGACCAGCUGACUGGAAAAGAUGGACUGGGAAGAGGAAACGUUAGAGACGACAGGGAGCAUCAGUGAGGAGAGGAGGCCUCCCAUGACGUUUGCCCUAUUGUAGCUCUGGUGGUUUUCAGACAGCAUAGAGCUCGGAGGCUUCUCCCAGAGUGACGGGCCUCCAAAGAAGCUUUUCCACCAGGCCACCUGUCAGUCAGCAUUAUCCCUUUCAACUGACGCCGAGACAAAGAGUUGCAGAGAUAGUGAGCUCCAUUUAUGGUGUUAAACAAAAAACACUGGGUCUAUAGUGUGUUGUUCUUGUUUUUACCUUAUUUAUACUGCCACAUAAAGGAAAACCAGGACAGGUACUUAUUGUUUUAGAAGUGUCAUAACACUCACCCAAUUAAAAAUGAAUCAGUUAAAGGUGAAAAACUUGGUUUUGAUGAUGGCUCUAUUUUUGUGGUAAGGUUAGCAUGUUUCAAUAUAAUGGCUCUGAUUCUUUGUGGAAUUCAGCUUUACCCCAUGACAUCCUAGUUGAAAUGUUGUCUGGUAAUAAAUCUGCUGCAUUUUUCAUCAUCAGGUUGUUUGCAGUGUUCUUACUUUUUGACCCCAUGGUUUUGUAUCUAAUAAAGAGA
Molecule: long non-coding RNA, 691 nt
Organism: Oreochromis aureus
Lineage: Eukaryota; Metazoa; Chordata; Actinopteri; Cichliformes; Cichlidae
Exons: 3
Source: RefSeq, a predicted model, not a curated record